GACGAACGCUGGCGGCGUGCUUAACACAUGCAAGUCGAACGGAAAGGCCCUGCUUGCCGUGUACUCGAGGGGCGAACGGGUGAGUAACACGUGGGUGAUCUGCCCGUCACCUGGGGAUAAGCCUGGGAAACGGGGUCUAAUACCGGACAGGAGCCCUAUAUAGUGGGAGGGUUGGGAAGGUGUUGGGGUGUGGGAUUAGCUCGCGGCCGAUCAGCUUGGUGGUGGGGUAGUGGCCUGCCAAGGCGGCGCCGGGUCGCCGGCCUGAGAGGGUGGACGGCCACAAUGGGACUGAGAUACGCGCCAGACAGCUGCGGGGGGCAGCAGUGGGGAAUAGUGCACAAUGGGCGGCAGCCUGAUGCAGCGAAGCACGGUGGGGGGUGACGGCCCUCGGGUUGUAAGCUCCUUUCGCUAGGGACGAAGCUUUUUGUGACGGUACCUAGAUAAGAAGCACCGGCUAACUACGUG
RNAcentral lists this ribosomal RNA (465 nucleotides) under uncultured bacterium. Its description in RNAcentral is "partial 16S ribosomal RNA". It matches the Rfam family "Bacterial small subunit ribosomal RNA", at positions 28 to 507 of the family's 1533-position model. The record is from RNAcentral.